RNAcentral lists this ribosomal RNA (350 nucleotides) under uncultured Bacillus sp. Its description in RNAcentral is "bacterial SSU rRNA". It matches the Rfam family "Bacterial small subunit ribosomal RNA", at positions 568 to 916 of the family's 1533-position model. The record is from RNAcentral. Lineage: Bacteria; Bacillati; Bacillota; Bacilli; Caryophanales; Bacillaceae.
CGCGUAGGCGGUUUUUUAAGUCUGAUGUGAAAGCCCACGGCUCAACCGUGGAGGGUCAUUGGAAACUGGAAAACUUGAGUGCAGAAGAGGAAAGUGGAAUUCCAUGUGUAGCGGUGAAAUGCGCAGAGAUAUGGAGGAACACCAGUGGCGAAGGCGACUUUCUGGUCUGUAACUGACGCUGAGGCGCGAAAGCGUGGGGAGCAAACAGGAUUAGAUGCCCUGGUAGUCCACGCCGUAAACGAUGAGUGCUAAGUGUUAGAGGGUUUCCGCCCUUUAGUGCUGAAGUUAACGCAUUAAGCACUCCGCCUGGGGAGUACGGCCGCAAGGCUGAAACUCAAAAGAAUUGACGG